GCGGGAAGAGACCCUGCUCCUGCUAUGAAGCACCCGGCGGAUUCAGCGGCGAGCACCUCGGUGCAUCAUCACCUGCAUGGCCCCGCGCCUGCCUCGAUCGUCGCCUCCCCGCUCCCUGAGCCGGCAAGUCGCUGCUCCUGCUCGCGUGCUGCUCCGCCAAUGCUCCUCGCUCCCUGCCCGCGCAUAGGCGCGAGAAGGAGGCUGCUGCACCUGACCCCCACGCCGGUCUCUCCCUACUGCCGCCC
This 245-nucleotide long non-coding RNA is filed under the name Setaria italica (foxtail millet). RNAcentral's name for it is "long non-coding RNA (SITA_LNC007174)". Lineage: Eukaryota; Viridiplantae; Streptophyta; Magnoliopsida; Poales; Poaceae. The record is from RNAcentral.